AGCAACCUUCACGCUGAUAAUCGAUUUUGACUAAGAUUUGGGUCGUGCACUAGGGCGAAAGGUCUAAGGAGAAUAUGUUGAAUCCGCCAUUUUAAAUGAGAGUGAUCACCCCCUACGUGCAAAAUGUAAUGUAAAUACGCUUCUAAUUUCUUGCUGAAGGAUACAUGGGUGAAAACUGCAAAGUGAGGUCUGAAUUAUCCUGAACAUGUGGAAAAUUACUUUCUCAACACUUUGAGCACCGAAUCCCGGAAGUAUCACUAUUAAGACAGACUGAACUGUGUCCGUCUUCUCCCGUCACCCAGGAAGAGGUGUCCUAAGAUAGUCAUCACUGCAACUUUUCAACACUCAGUAAGUCCAGUGAUCCUCGGGCAGAGCUCACCUGGGCACACCUUCCAACACCGCCAUUGUAGCGACGGAAAGGGACGCACUGGUGCUUGACGAUGACGUCCCUCAGGUACUUGUUGGCCUUGCGGAUGUGCAUGCCCUUGAUGGCCUGGGCUGUCUCACGGGUGUUCUGUACAUAAAACAAGCAUCCAAACAGCUCAGACUGACAUCUGCACAGCAGAGAGAGCAGCUACACUUGUUUUACUCGGACAACGGCGUUGGUGGGACGAGUUAACAGGAGCUUCCGUCAACAAAAAGCCUGGAGCCAACAUGUGGACUCUUCAGAACCAUCUUACCUUGAAGUGAACCCGGAGGUUGGAGCCCCUCGACUUGCAUGCUGAAAUAAAGAACCGAGUCAUUACAAACACAGCAGAAGCUCGUUUAGCAGAAAGUGUCCUGGUUACAUUUGGAAGCUCAGCUCAUUCAUUUUAUUUUGUUUUCAUGUUUAAUCCAAAGGUGUCCUAAGAAGUCAUCACAGCAACCGUGCUAACCCUGGAAAACCCACACAACUCCGGCCCUACUCACAUUUAGUCGGGUUCUCGGGGUCGAGUGAGUAGCGGACCAUUUUCAGAAUAUCUGUGAAGAGAGACGAGCGGUCACUUUUUAGUCUUAUUGCAGACGGUGUACGACAGGCUCCUCAUGACUCCUGCUGGUUAGCAUUAGCUCAACUUACGGCACCAACUUCACUAAAUAUCGCCGAGAAACGGCAGUUGACGCUAUAAAACGCCACAAACAGCCUCAGACACAAGUAAAGCACAGAAAUAAAGUUAAAGUUCACGUUAAACCCUAAAAUGCCCCGGUUUUCAUCGCCAGACGCUGCCAACAUGGCGGCCCGCCGUGAUAGCCACCAAACCGGCGUCUUCACAAAUGUUACAAGAAAAGCCGAAUUUGCGGCUCCACACACAAAUAUCCAACAUCGUCUAAGGCGUUUAAUGAUUAUGAACGAAACCCAGCGAGUUAAAGAGCCGGAUGGUGAAGAUUUAGUGCAGAUUAAAGACAGAUUCUGGUCUUCAUAUGCGGGACGGAGCUCCUACCUCUGAGGCCGCGGA
This is a long non-coding RNA of Xiphias gladius (swordfish), 1433 nucleotides long. RefSeq lists it as uncharacterized. Lineage: Eukaryota; Metazoa; Chordata; Actinopteri; Istiophoriformes; Xiphiidae. The record is from RefSeq and is a predicted model, not a curated record. The transcript has 3 exons.